GCUUACGGCCAUACCAGCCUGGGAUCUCGUCUGAUCUCGGAAGCUAAGCAGGGUCGGGCCUGGUUAGUACUUGGAUGGGAGACCGCCUGGGAAUACCAGGUGCUGUAAGCA
RNAcentral lists this ribosomal RNA (111 nucleotides) under Salmo salar (Atlantic salmon). Lineage: Eukaryota; Metazoa; Chordata; Actinopteri; Salmoniformes; Salmonidae. The record is from RNAcentral.